AGAGCGCGGAGCGCGCAGCGCGGGCCGGAGGGAGGGAGGGAGGGUGGGCGAAGGGAGAGGACUUGAACACACGGGACCGGACAGGACCGACCGAGGGGCGGCGGCGAAAGGCAGAGCGCCGCGAUCUCUGUCGGGAAGCGCAACCUCCCCGGGCCCCGCGGGGCCGCGCAGGGGGCGUCCUCAACCCCGCGCCCGCUCCCUCUUUCCAUCCCCUGCCGCCCGCAGGCCACCCCGGGGCCCGGCCAUCCGCGCGCGCAUCCCCGGGUUCGGGCCCGUCCCUGGUCCUCGAGGGAGCCGCCGCCUUCAUCGCCACAUCUGCAGCGGCCGCACCAGAGGCCGCCCGGGCGGGACCCCAGCGUGAGCAUCGGGCGCCCCCCUAGGAGUGCACCACCCCCGGAGCCCCCCUCAACACGGACCGCGCCCGCCGGGCACACAAGAAUGGUCACUGCCCAGACCCCGCAGGCCG
RNAcentral lists this small RNA (466 nucleotides) under Pan troglodytes (chimpanzee). Its description in RNAcentral is "processed transcript". The record is from RNAcentral. Lineage: Eukaryota; Metazoa; Chordata; Mammalia; Primates; Hominidae.